This 29-nucleotide small RNA is filed under the name Bombyx mori (domestic silkworm). Its description in RNAcentral is "ovarian small RNA-35538". Lineage: Eukaryota; Metazoa; Arthropoda; Insecta; Lepidoptera; Bombycidae. The record is from RNAcentral.
UGUAUUGCAGCCAUUUUACAGGUUGCUGC